CCUACGGGAGGCAGCAGUGGGGAAUAUUGCACAAUGGGGGAAACCCUGAUGCAGCGACGCCGCGUGAGUGAAGAAGCGCCUCCGCGCGUAAAGCUCUGUCAGCAGGAACGAUAAUCACGGUACCUGAAGACCAAUCCCCGGCUAACUCCGUGCCAGCAGCCGCGGUACUACGGAGGGGGCAAGCGUUAUCCGGAUUGACUGGGUGUAAAGGGAGCGUAGAGGGCGGGGCAGGUCUGGAGUGAAAGGCCCGGGCCCAACCCCGGGACCGCUCUGGAAACUGGCGGGCUGGAGUGCGGGAGAGGUAAGCGGAAUUCCUAGUGUAGCGGUGAAAUGCGUAGAUAUUAGGAGGAACACCAGCGGCGAAGGCGGCUUACUGGACCGGGACUGACGUUGAGGCUCGAAAGCGUGGGGAGCAAACAGGAUUAGAUACCCUUGUAGUC
Molecule: ribosomal RNA, 440 nt
Filed under: uncultured bacterium
Lineage: Bacteria
Description: partial 16S ribosomal RNA
Rfam family: Bacterial small subunit ribosomal RNA
Source: RNAcentral